Cyprinus carpio carpio is the source of this 2467-nucleotide long non-coding RNA. Lineage: Eukaryota; Metazoa; Chordata; Actinopteri; Cypriniformes; Cyprinidae. The record is from Ensembl.
AGUCAACGUGCCCUCAUUAUAAGAUCUGAUGAACUUGAAGUCACUAGUGCGCGAGCCCGUGGUCAGGUAUGCGUCAUAAUUGUAAGUGCUGCGGAGAGUUCCCGCACCCUCCACCUCUGCGUAAUUUGGAGGAAGAUAUGCGCUGGGAAUGGCUACAGCUCCAUCAAACAACAGUCUGGGCUUUCUCCUGUGACAAAACCUCACGGCCAGGAUGAUGAUGAUGAAGGUCAGGAAGAAAGUGGAAACGGACACCAGAGCGAUGAUCAAAUAAAACGUCAGUUUGGAGCUGCUCUCGUCACUAGACAUGUCUUUCAGUUCUGGAACUUCAGCCAAGUUAUCUGAUAUAAGCAAAUACAAUGCGCACGUGGCUGAGAGAGAGGGCUGUCCAUUAUCUCUCACGGACACAAUGAGGUUCUGUUUCAUGCUGUCAGAUUCAGAAAUGUCCCGUUGCGUCCUGAUCUCUCCGCUGUGGACACCGAUAGUGAAAAGUCCCGGAUCAGUAGCUUUAAUAAUGUGAUACGAGAGCCACGCGUUCUGGCCAGAAUCUGCGUCCACGGCGAUCACCUUGGAGACCAGGGAGCGCUCCUGAGCACCUUUGGGUACCAUCUCGGUCAUGAUGGAGUUUCCUUCCGGAGAGGGGUAUAAUAUCUGAGGGGAGUUGUCAUUCUCAUCCGCUAUGAAGACAUUCACGGUCACGUUACUGCUCAGAGGAGGAGAACCGUUGUCUCUGGCUAAAACAAGCACUUUGAAACUUUUCAACUGUUCGUAAUCAAACGACCUCACAGCAUGAAUGACUCCGGUGUCUCCGUUAAUGGAUAGAAAAGACGACACCGGUGCGCCAUUGACGUCAGAGGACAACAGAGAAUAAACUACAGUGCCAUUCUGUCUCCAGUCCCGGUCUGUUGCUGAUACUGAACAAAUAGAGGAGCCCGGUUUGUUAUUUUCUUGCACAUGAGCUCUGUAAUUCUGCUGCUGAAAUACAGGUGGAUUAUCAUUCACGUCAGCUACAGUCAAGUGAAUAUUCUUAGUGGAAGAUAAAGGCGGAGAGCCCUCAUCAGUAGCAGUAAUUGUAAUAUUAAAAUCGGAGAGCAGCUCGCGGUCUAAUUCACCUAUGGUCACCAGAGAAUAGUAAUUUUUGAUUGAAGGAACGAGUUUAAACGGGACGUUUUGCUGAAUGGAGCAGCGCACCUGUCCAUUAUUAUCAGAGUCCCUGUCCUGCACAUUAAUGAUGCCAACCUCUGUACCGGGUAACGCAUUCUCAGGAACGGGACUGUUAAGAGAGUUAAUUACGAUUAUAGGGGCGUUAUCAUUGACAUCAACGAUAUCUAUUAAUAUAGUGCAAUGACUGGCUAACCCCUGACCGUCUUUGGCUUGAAUUGGCAGCUCAAUUGAACUCUCCUCCUCAAAAUCAAUUGACCCUGUUAGUUUAAUCUCCCCAGACAAAGAAUCGAGAGAAAAUAUUUCCAAAAGGCGCUCGGAUAAAUGACCAAAUUCAUACAUCACUUCUCCAUUUUGUCCCUCGUCAGCAUCAGUAGCGCUCACUGUCACCACUACAGUAUUUACAGGAGAAUUUUCAGGCAGACUGACUUCAUAGAUGUCCUGACUAAAGACUGGAACAUUAUCAUUAGCAUCAAGCACUGUUACAUGUAUGGCUACGGUACCUGAUCUCGGUGGAGUCCCGCCGUCUACCGCAGUAAGAAUUAAUGUUAGCUCUUUUUGCUGCUCGCGAUCUAACUCUUUAUUAAGAAGGAGCUCACCAUAUUUUCUUCCAUUUGCACGAGUUAGUACAUUAAGAACAAACUGGUCGUUGUUUUGAAGUGUAUAAGAUUGCACUGAAUUCAUUCCAAUAUCCGCGUCGUGGGCCUCGUCUAAUAAAUAACGAGAACCUUUGUCUGCUGAUUCCUGUAUUUCGAAUUUUAUUCCACUUUGUUUGAACUGUGGUGAAUUAUCAUUUAUGUCUUCAAUAUUGAGAACGAAGCGGUGCAGCUCUAAGGGAUUUUCCAGCACGAGCUCUUGUUUAAGAACGCAUGAAGCUUUCUUUCCACAAAUCUCCUCUCUGUCCAUUCUCUCCGCCACGGUCAGUUCUCCAGUACUCAUAUUAAUUUCACAGUAUCGUUUUCUGUUACCUUCAGUAUGUAUGCGAACCUUACGAGAUGACAGUCUGUUCACAUCGAGGCUGAGAUCCUUUGCUAUAUUUCCAAUCACAGAUCCGCGUUUCAUCUCCUCCGGAAAAGUGUAGAUCACGUCUCCAUAAGAGGUGUGCGCCAUCAGCACGAAGAACAAAAGGACAAACAUCUCAGCAGUAACACAGAACCUUUGGAAUUCUUCAGACUUUAAGCAGAAAUUGAAUCCCGUAACAUAAUGAUUACCAUGUAGAAGAAAACAAGCAUAAAAUAAAAAUUUAGAAUAAUAGACGUAGAUAAUAUCAUGGAAUCAGUCGUCUUCGACGAGCUGAAAGCCCUGUGUA